AUGAACGCUGGCGGCGUGCCUAAUACAUGCAAGUCGAGCGAACGGACGAGAAGCUUGCUUCUCUGAUGUUAGCGGCGGACGGGUGAGUAACACGUGGAUAACCUACCUAUAAGACUGGGAUAACUUCGGGAAACCGGAGCUAAUACCGGAUAAUAUUUUGAACCGCAUGGUUCAAAAGUGAAAGACGGUCUUGCUGUCACUUAUAGAUGGAUCCGCGCUGCAUUAGCUAGUUGGUAAGGUAACGGCUUACCAAGGCAACGAUGCAUAGCCGACCUGAGAGGGUGAUCGGCCACACUGGAACUGAGACACGGUCCAGACUCCUACGGGAGGCAGCAGUAGGGAAUCUUCCGCAAUGGGCGAAAGCCUGACGGAGCAACGCAGCGUGAGUGAUGAAGGUCUUCGGAUCGUAAAACUCUGUUAUUAGGGAAGAACAUAUGUGUAAGUAACUGUGCACAUCUUGACGGUACCUAAUCAGAAAGCCACGGCUAACUACGU
Molecule: ribosomal RNA, 495 nt
Filed under: uncultured bacterium
Lineage: Bacteria
Description: partial 16S ribosomal RNA
Rfam family: Bacterial small subunit ribosomal RNA
Source: RNAcentral